GACAAACGCCGCGCGGCUCAUACCGGAGCAGAGGCAGUCAAGCUUCUGUCCGCGAAAAUCUGGAUCCUUUAGAACCCGAGCAAUGUACUCGUGUGGGAAUACAAAAACAUUUCCCGCGGCGUGGCUUUGCACCGACAUAGGUACAGGCCCGAAGUGCUCCCCGACGCCCUGCCGGCGCCCGGGAGCCACAGGGGGAGUUCGCCUCGAGCUGACCGGGCUGCAGAGGGCGGGCAGCUCCCAGAAGUGCACUAAUUGAGUCACAAACCACGGGCCGCCCCUAACAAAGCGAUCCAUCUCGGCCGCUCCGCGCCCAAUUUGUCCGCAGUACUUUCUUCCGCAAUUCAGAAGCAUUAUCUUGUUUUUAGAAGUAUCGCGGCAGAAACGUGGCAAUUAUCCUGGGCUCGGGUUACGCUAAAUGGCUUUAGGCUGAGAAAUGGAAGAAUACAAAUGCCGCGAACGUGCUGAUCGCCUCGCUGCCAAGCCUGGACCUGGGGUAGGGGAAGCGAGCCAGAAGAUUACGGAGGGGAGAGGGAGGUCCGGCGCAAGUGCCCACUCUUGGCCCUCUCCCAAUGGCACCGGCCAGAAAGAAGUGUUGGGCCUUUGUCCCUAGAGGUUAAGGAUUCUGAGCGAUGAACCCUCAGAGGUUGGGAGAGAAGGGGUCAUAUUCUAACAUCACCCGGCUAAGCUUCUGGCCUCGGCUUUGGGUCAGGAACAGGUUGGGAGCUUCAGGCACUGAUGAGAAAGGUGCUUGGCAUCUGAUGUUGAGUGCGUCUUCUGGCUAAGUCUGGAGCUUGGCGAGUCCCUGAGCCUGAGCCUUCUCAGAGCGCAAUUGAAGUCGGCCCUUUUCCUCCAGAACAGCAAGUGGAUGGGAAAGAACCUUGACAACACAAAACUCAUUUACUAAUGGACUGGUUUUGGGUUUCUCUUCUCCGGGUCCGCAAAUCGCCCUGCCUGAGCCCUCGGCCUAUUCAGACCUCGCGGGGAGCGGCGUCCCCCAGGAGGCAGUUACGGGAUCUGUUGGAUUAAACAUAAGGAGAAAGGCUGGCGGCCCGGCACAGCCUCCGAGAAGGAGCACCACUUCUCACUGACCCCAGGGCCCACAAUCACAGCACCCACACGGUUGUCUUCCCAGUUGUCGCCAACGUCUUGUAUGUCCUCAUUCCUUUUGAAGAGAGAAGAAAAGAAGUGGGUUGAGAGGUCUGGAGGAAGUCGAAAUGAAGGUGGUCACAUCGGUGUCUAAUUGCCUUCUCUCUGCUCCCGGUCAUCCCCUGUGAAUUUAUACCCGCCCUCCUUGGCCAGGCUAUGCCUCAUUUCCUUAUACAAAAUUUUUAAUUAUAAAGUACACCCCAUGCUCAACUUACCGUUUGUCUUUUAAGAGACGUAGCUGUACUUACAGCCGCUCCCCUCCCCCCCAUACACGUUGUAAUUCUGCGCACUUGCUCCAGACUUUAGGGUAUUAACUGAUUUUUAGAGCCAGUUUAAGCCUCUGUGCUGGUCCUCACACAGCUGCCAUGUCAAUAAGGAUUGUUCCAAGCAGAGACAUUCCUUCUGGCAGGACGGACACUACAGCUCCUUAAGACUUCAUCUGAAACAUCCUGAGCAC
RNAcentral lists this long non-coding RNA (1603 nucleotides) under Equus asinus (donkey). Its description in RNAcentral is "lncRNA (ENSEASG00005028309.1)". The record is from RNAcentral. Lineage: Eukaryota; Metazoa; Chordata; Mammalia; Perissodactyla; Equidae.